UACAGAGGUCUCAAGCGUUGUUCGGAUUCAUUGGGCGUAAAGGGUGCGUAGGUGGCGCCGUAAGUCGGGUGUGAAAUUUCGGAGCUUAACUCCGAAACUGCAUUCGAUACUGCGGUGCUUGAGGACUGGAGAGGAGACUGGAAUUCAUGGUGUAGCAGUGAAAUGCGUAGAGAUCAAGUGGAACACCAGUGGCGAAGGCGAGUCCCUGGAAAACUCCUGACACUGAGGCACGAAAGCUAGGGGAGCAAACAGG
Molecule: ribosomal RNA, 253 nt
Filed under: uncultured bacterium
Lineage: Bacteria
Description: partial 16S ribosomal RNA
Rfam family: Bacterial small subunit ribosomal RNA
Source: RNAcentral